GCCGGGUGUGGUGGCGCACACCUGCAGUCCCAGCUACUCCGGAGGCUGAGGCAGGAGAAUCGUUUGAACCCGGGAGUUGGAGGUUGCAGUGAGUCGAGACUGUGCCACUGCACUCCAGCCUGAGUGACAGAGCGAGACUCUGUCUCAA
RNAcentral lists this non-coding RNA (148 nucleotides) under Chlorocebus sabaeus (green monkey). The record is from Rfam by way of RNAcentral. Lineage: Eukaryota; Metazoa; Chordata; Mammalia; Primates; Cercopithecidae.